RNAcentral lists this ribosomal RNA (475 nucleotides) under uncultured Planctomycetales bacterium. Its description in RNAcentral is "bacterial SSU rRNA". It matches the Rfam family "Bacterial small subunit ribosomal RNA", at positions 364 to 832 of the family's 1533-position model. The record is from RNAcentral. Lineage: Bacteria; Pseudomonadati; Planctomycetota; Planctomycetia; Planctomycetales.
UUUCGCAAUGCCCGAAAGGGUGACGAAGCGACGCCGCGUGGGGGAAGAAGGCCUUCGGGUUGUAAACCCCUGUCAGGAGCCAGGAAAUGCAGGGUGUGAAUAGCGCCCUGUUUGACUACAGCUCCAGAGGAAGCCAUGGCUAACUCUGUGCCAGCAGCCGCGGUAAUACAGAGGUGGCAAGCGUUGUUCGGAAUUAUUGGGCGUAAAGAGCACGUAGGUGGGUUUGUAAGUCAGAUGUGAAAGCCUUCUGUUCAACGGAAGAAUUGCAUCUGAAACUGCGAGUCUUGAGUGUAGGAGGGGAGAAUGGAACUUCUGGUGAGCGGUGAAAUGCGUAGAUAUCAGAAGGAACGCCGGCGGCGAAAGCGAUUCUCUGGCCUAUUACUGACACUCAGUGUGCGAAAGCUAGGGGAGCAAACGGGAUUAGAUACCCCGGUAGUCCUAGCCGUAAACGAUGGGCACUAAGUAGAGGGGUUUU